Molecule: ribosomal RNA, 157 nt
Filed under: Garcinia hombroniana
Lineage: Eukaryota; Viridiplantae; Streptophyta; Magnoliopsida; Malpighiales; Clusiaceae
Description: 5.8S ribosomal RNA
Rfam family: 5.8S ribosomal RNA
About the family: 5.8S ribosomal RNA (5.8S rRNA) is a component of the large subunit of the eukaryotic ribosome. It is transcribed by RNA polymerase I as part of the 45S precursor that also contains 18S and 28S rRNA. Functionally, it is thought that 5.8S rRNA may be involved in ribosome translocation.
Source: RNAcentral
CGAAAUGACUCUCGGCAACGGAUAUCUCGGCUCUUGCAUCGAUGAAGAACGUAGCGAAAUGCGAUACGUGGUGUGAAUUGCAGAAUCCCGUGAACCAUCGAGUUUUUGAACGCAAGUUGCGCCCAAAGCCUUUUGGUUGAGGGCACGUCUGCCUGGG